This is a long non-coding RNA of Catharus ustulatus (Swainson's thrush), 1381 nucleotides long. RefSeq lists it as uncharacterized. NCBI's taxonomy places the organism in Eukaryota, Metazoa, Chordata, Aves, Passeriformes, Turdidae. The transcript is spliced from 6 exons. The record is from RefSeq and is a predicted model, not a curated record.
GGGGGCAGCCCCGGCCCGCUCCCGCCGGGAUCGCGCCGGCCCCGCUCCGCCACGGGAGCGACGCCACCCGGGCAACAGCAGGGGACGGAGCUGGCAGAGAGUGUUUGAGACAUCUUCAGGAAUCUCAGGACCCAAGUCCCUAGGAUACAAACCCGUCAAAAACACCUUCUCUGAGGAACACGAAUGACUGCUCAUUGCGAAAUCACCCAGGAACGCAACAUUGCAGGGUGAAUGGUUUCCAUCUCUACAUGAUGACAUUGCUGCCUGGAACAGAUACAACUGCAGUGUGAAUAGAGAGCUAUCCUCAUAUGGCUGCAAGCACGCAAUGCUGAUGGAGUAAGAGUUGAGAGCUGGAUUCAGUCAGUUAGUCUGAAGGCCACCCAUCAUGCUUGUCUGUCUUCCUGGACUUCAAAUGCUGCAUAAACUGGAUUGGGCAAGGCAGUGAUCAGCUGUGUACCGCUCUAAAGCAACUAUUAAUAACAUGUUGUACUGCUACUGUGAUUUAUUAAUGAAAGUCACUUCAGUUAUCACGUCCUUAAUACUACUGAAGAUGCAGCAAGAGAAACUGCCAGUUUCACUCAGAGGACCUUAGGUCAGUCAGUCAGGAGCCUCCCACUCCAUAAGCCCUGAGAAGCUCCAGAAGCUGACACCAGUGAAGCGCUGAGGACCAGAAGAGUCUGUGGGCAACCUGCAGGGACUAUCCGUGGUGUGACUUUACCCCAAAUCUACCCAUGACAGUGGUCUGUCAGUGCUGAUAACAUCUCAGCACCCAAAGAGCCCACUGCUCUUGUCAGACCUGGAUAGAUAAAGUGGAAGGCAAGUUUGAAGAAUAAGUAUUGCAUUAUUGUAUUAUGAAUAAAUUGUAGGCUGGCAAUUUUUGUUACAGAUUAAGUAGGAUCUAAAUGAGUUAAUACCCAUGGAAUCCCUUUUUGUCUUCUCCUUUUAGUGUACUCUCCUCCUCAGUCUUUUUAUAUAACAUCUGUUUUAUUGUAUGUAAUACUGUAUAUUCAACAGCUAGGUUUACUUGCUGAUGACCAGAAACUCAACUGCCACUGCUAGUUGGGAUAGUACCAUAAUCUCUGCAGGGAGAGCAACAAGGGACUCUGCUGCUCUGAAAGGUCAGGGUACCUUAUCAAGAACUAGGUAUUACAGCAUCUGUGGAGGGUCACCAGAGGUUGAUUACCUUCUUUUUUUGUACCAUGGAACACAUUAGGCUGAAAUGACUUGCCUAAGGUCUUAAAACAGGGCAGUGACAGAGCUGGAAAUAAUCCCUGGAGGCAGGUGCUGUUUGUGACAUAUUUUCUGCAAAUACUGCUUUAUUUGGACAUUUUUUUGAUGAUUACUGCAAAUUUAGAAAAAUAAAGAUUUCUGCAUUACCAAA